AAUAACCGGUGACCCUUAAUGUCGCUGUUGCUGGCCAAUUGACACAGGUCCUUGGGUAUUAUGGAUGCUCACCAUUUUAGACUACCUCCAUUUUUGAUGGAUUCAACUUCCCUUACCUGAAUUGGACUUUCUCCAGCUCCAUGAAAAGAUGGCUCCAGAUAGAAGCUAGAGAACCAUUUUUAACAAGAUGAUAUGCUGUCCACAUCUGGAGUGCUGUGUUCAUGACUUGGUGCUGCAUUUUAGGAAGGAUAUCAAUAAACUGAAGAACAUUCAGAAAGGAGACAAACAAAUUCAGGUUCUCAUAUCACCAGCUGAUGUCCUGGAAUCUCAGGUUCUUCAGCUGCAAAAUGAAGACUGAACUAGUGUUCAUUAAGAUGCCUUCUAUUUUGGACAGCCAUAAUUCUGUUAUCUGCAUUUGUAUCUAUAAAUGGAGAAAGGAGGAGAAAUGGGCAAUUUGGCAAUUAUGAUCUCUUGCUGAAGGAUGAAAGCUUGAGAGAUCACUUAGUCUCUUUUGGGAUCUAUUCUUGUUUCCUUUUCCUUGUGGAGUCUGGGUUUCCAGCCUAUCUUUCAGUAGCUUUCUAGCUUCAGAGGCCACCCAUAACAGACUGACCACAGAUUCUGCCUUAUAUCAAAGUAACUGCUGGGGGGAAAAGAAAUAGUAGCUUAACUAGGCUGAAAUUGAGUCCUGAUCUCUACAUGCUCAGUUCAGUGAUCUUUUUUACUGAAUCGUAUCACUUCCUUUUGUUUCAAGGGUCUAAAGGGAUCACUUGCUUUUGG
RNAcentral lists this long non-coding RNA (777 nucleotides) under Monodelphis domestica (gray short-tailed opossum). RNAcentral's name for it is "lncRNA (ENSMODG00000050629.1)". Lineage: Eukaryota; Metazoa; Chordata; Mammalia; Didelphimorphia; Didelphidae. The record is from RNAcentral.